This 794-nucleotide long non-coding RNA is filed under the name Sorghum bicolor (sorghum). Its description in RNAcentral is "long non-coding RNA (SBIC_LNC002211)". The record is from RNAcentral. Lineage: Eukaryota; Viridiplantae; Streptophyta; Magnoliopsida; Poales; Poaceae.
GGCAUUGGGAUCAUAUGUAAUCAACAUAGGAUAGUGUUCCAGCGAGACAAUCUAACCAGACGGCAUGAUCCAGCACUUUCUAUUCUGCACCACCCAAUCAUGCAAAUAAAAGUGCCAGAUGACUUGCGUGCCAUGGCAUAAAGAGCUGUUUGACAGCAGAAGGAUUUGUCAGGGGACACAAACUGAAAGCUGCUACCAGCUUCAGAUUUUGGAUUGGUUGUUGCCCAUCCAUCUGUCUGGAAAACGAAACCCAUUAGUUAUCUAGAAUGAGGCUCGCUUCGUACUGGUAGAUUGAUACUCUGUACAAGUUAGCCAGCGUCAAAUUAAAUGUUUUUUUUACUCGCAUGCAUGGGAGCAUCUCACGCACUUCAGAUUAGCUUGAGCAGAGACCAGGAAACAGAGGUCCUGUUUUUAGUACCUUGAAAACAAUGGAGCCAGAAGCAGCUGGGACAUGCAUAAACUUUCUAAUUUCAUCCUGGUUUGAGGCCAAUACAACCAGCACUGUAUGUUUCAAUUUCACAUGACAUCCUUUUGUUAGUGCUGGAUAUUUCUAUGUAGUUAUCAGGCGUUUUACUAGCUACAAGCUACUACCGACAUUGAUAGAUCAUUAAAGACGACAAAUUCUGCAGUUGCAGCAAAUAUAUUUGGUCCGAGAUUAUUAGGGACAUUAACAUCUGAUUUUUAGGUUGGACUUCUGGACGUGGCGAUUCUUCAGUAAUGGAAACUUAUUAGCUAAAACUUGUGCAUAUUAGUGUAGACAGUUGCAUAUUUAUCCCUGUGUUGAUUGCAUGCGG